This 87-nucleotide long non-coding RNA is filed under the name Struthio camelus australis. Its description in RNAcentral is "lncRNA (ENSSCUG00000006573.1)". Lineage: Eukaryota; Metazoa; Chordata; Aves; Struthioniformes; Struthionidae. The record is from RNAcentral.
GCUUUCAGAUAAUUCCACAGACCAGCCUGGAAUUCAACAUCCUGACACUGCUCUCACUGAAGAAGUGACCACCUGCAGAGAUUACCA